RNAcentral lists this long non-coding RNA (1708 nucleotides) under Callithrix jacchus (white-tufted-ear marmoset). RNAcentral's name for it is "lncRNA (ENSCJAG00000078938.1)". The record is from RNAcentral. Lineage: Eukaryota; Metazoa; Chordata; Mammalia; Primates; Cebidae.
GCCUUUUCUUCUCCUAAAAACCUUCCCCUUGCAUAUCAAAAACUUGGGCUUUCAAAAGUAUUGUUUCUGAUCUGGGAUCAAGAACUUAUUUUGGAAAUUAGCACUGAACACUGACUAUUUAUUUUUCUCUGGAUUUCAACUGUCCUCAUUCUCCUUCAGGUUCUAUGGGAGCUGAACAAGGAAGAGAAGAAAAGUACAGACAUUUGUAUUUCAAGAUGCCUUUCUGCCAUAGCACUUACAAUACACUGGCACACAGCCUGGCACAAAAUAUGCAUGCUGUGCAUGCUAUUAGUAUGCUUUUAAAAUUAUUGAGUGAUCUUCAGCAGCAGCAUUUGCCGGGACAGCUUCCAUUACCACAGAUUUCUUCUUUGUCUGGUGAGCUCUGACUUCCUCAGAGCUAACUGCUCUAUAACCCCAAUCUCUCUCCCCACAUAGAUAUUCAGUGGUCUGGGCCACGGUUCCCUUUAGCAUUUCUUCCAAGGACCCUGGUGGCGUUUGUACUAAUGGAACUCCUGGAGACCUACUGUGUCUGCAAUGAAGCCGCUGCGCCCCUGCAGACGUACCCUUCUCCACGGCUGUUAUUGAAUCACAUCGAAAUAAGCACAGACGUUUGUCCUCUUUGCUUGCCUAUUGCCUCUGUUUUGCUUAUUACCUUUUUUUUCUCUUAAAGAUCUAGGAGUACAAUAUUUGAAUUUCUGUUUUCAAAACCAAAAAAUGAAAAAGCAUAAGGCAAAUCAAAAAUUACUCAACUACAGCAAUUUGAAGACUAACAUCCUGGCCUUCUAUCUGUGGGGCUGUAAUGACUCGGAGGAUGAAAAUCAGCGUAUGCAAAGAAGAAUAUAUUCCUGGAUCCUUGCUCAAAUGUGGCUAUGUCAGAAUUUUGGAACAAAUAGGCGUCUACAAUGUGCUCCUCCCUGCAAUGACAGAAGUCGAGAACUCUGGUUAAAAAGAAAGAGAAGGAUAAAAAAUUGACUUUCAUUCAUAGACUAGUAGAGCUGGAAGGAACUUUCAGGAAUUGAUCAUUGAGAAGAACAGUUUUUCUCUUUGGUUUCAUGGUAGAAUCACCUGGGAAACUUAAAAGGUUCCCGGCACCACAUCUCAAAGAUUGAUUUAAUUGCUUCCUACCUACUCCAGGAAGGUGGUCAGGACCGGGUUAAACAGAGAUAGACCCUGACUGAGAACAUAUUUUUCUUGUUCAGGUACAUUGAUCAUGAUGGCAUCACAGCUUAAAGUACAGAGCGCUUAUUUUGAAGUGGCAGAGUUGAUCUUGGGCAAGACUCUUUCUGGGAGUAGAGGAAGAAGAUCAGGAAUAAACCUUGUGUUUAGAAGAAAGAAAUGAGAGGUACUGAGUUGCUUUCCUCUUCUUCCAUAUGCUGAAACGGAAGAAAUGAAAGAAAUCUGGAAGAGUCACGGGCUCUCUGAAUUGCUAGAAAACAUGGGACAUGAACAAUGAUGUGUCAUAUGGUUUGAUUGAAAAGGUAUGCUUUAAUUGAACAAUUAUCAACUAAUAUUUCUAAUACAAAUUAUCAUUCUAUUAUUUUUUCUACAAUCCAGGUAGUUCUACAAGCCACAUUAGCAGCAAAGAGUAUUAACAAAUGAGUAUGCAUUCAUUUAAUACCCAUUACAAAGGAGGAUGAAGUAAUACUCAUUGCGAAUGAGUAUUCACUCAUUGAAUUCCCCAGAUGGCAGUGACAGGAAUUAUUUUCCU